UGCAUAGCCCGAGUUGAGAGACUGAUCGGCCACAUUGGGGACUGAGACACGGGCCCAAACUCCUACGGGAGGCAGCAGUAGGGAAUCUUCCACAAUGGACGAAAGUACUGAUGGAGCAAACGCCGCGUGAGUGAAGAAGGUUUUCGGGUAUCGUAAAGACUCUGUUGUUGGUGAAGAAGGAUAGAGGUAGUAACUGGCCCUUUAUUUGACGGUAAUCAACCAGAAAGUCACGGGCUAACUACGUGCCAGCAGCCGCGGUAAAU
Molecule: ribosomal RNA, 263 nt
Filed under: uncultured Lactobacillus sp.
Lineage: Bacteria; Bacillati; Bacillota; Bacilli; Lactobacillales; Lactobacillaceae
Description: partial 16S ribosomal RNA
Rfam family: Bacterial small subunit ribosomal RNA
Source: RNAcentral